Long non-coding RNA from Myotis myotis, 1194 nucleotides. RefSeq lists it as uncharacterized. The record is from RefSeq and is a predicted model, not a curated record. The transcript is spliced from 3 exons. NCBI's taxonomy places the organism in Eukaryota, Metazoa, Chordata, Mammalia, Chiroptera, Vespertilionidae.
CCUGUUUUGUGGGUGAGUGGGGGGCGGAUGUAGUAAAUUCGGCCACGUGACCCGUUGUGUCUCACGUCUCAGUGUGCGAAGCCUUUCACACCCGUUACCCCACCGGUGCCUCGCAGCCUCAGAGGGUGUUGUGGUCCCGUGUUCAUCUCCGGGCUGCGGACGGACGAGCAAACUGAGGCUCACGGAAGGGGCUGGUCCAGGUCACCAAACCAGCAGGGCUGAGAUCACAGGCAACAAAUACUGUUACAAACACUUUGGAAGGAGCUGAAAAUGCUGAAAAUGUAGAAGCUGCGAGUAUUGCAACAAAUGGAGGAGGUCUGUGACGGGAAGGUCCGCUGCUCAGUUGGAUCAAUCACAGAAAAAAACCCACAAAGCAAUAUUCUGUGGCAACACUGUGUCCACGUACCCACUGAAGGAUGGCUGCUUUGCCUGAAACAAUGAGAGGACGCUGCGCUCCGAUGCUGACGGUGACGGUGCCUCGGCCACACUCCCCGGCGGGAAGCCAGGCGCCGUGGAUGCGGUUGGUUUGCACACAGAGACUCCCGCCGUGGGGCUGUCCCGUGACCUGAGGGAGCUGAGCAUCCGUGCGAGUUCUCCGCUCACGUAGAAGGUUGUUGGCUAUCUCACAGCAAGAUUCUUAAAAGGCCUGUCAGACUUAGCGAUGAGUCAUCUUUGUCUUCUUCUUAAACAUAAAGGCAUGUAUUCCUCUGAUGACAAUGGCGGCCGUAUUCCUGUGAUGACAGGGGCCGCCUAGCCCACCGCCCGGCGGAUACUUUCCAAGUGGUGAACACGCUUCAUUUGUCCCUUCAGGGCAAAGGGGAUGUUCUCACCAAGCAAGCUGCUGGAUGACCGGGUGUGCGGCCGCCUUAUCUUUAUAUUUACGGUCACAGACGCCCAGGGCCCCCGGUGCUGCCUGACAACCUACCAGAUUUCUGAUUUGACUCUCCCAUUGCCAAGAGCUAUUGCACGCCUGCUCUCUCAGACCUUGUAACCCCACGUCCGCUCGCAACUGUGACUUGCUCCCCACUUCAGCAGGAACAAGCAGAAGACGACCUUCCCCCUGAACAUCGAACUCACCUACUCAAAAGCUCACCCAGCCUCUCCAUUUAAAACAUGUCACACGUAUGGCCCUGGGCCAGUGACGGCGAACCUUCUGAGCUCGGCGUGCCAGCAUUUGGAAAAACCCUAACUUAA